RNAcentral lists this ribosomal RNA (709 nucleotides) under uncultured bacterium. Its description in RNAcentral is "bacterial SSU rRNA". It matches the Rfam family "Bacterial small subunit ribosomal RNA", at positions 48 to 724 of the family's 1533-position model. The record is from RNAcentral.
CUAAUACAUGCAAGUCGAGCGCAGGAAGCAGACUGAUCGUCCUUCGGGAGUGAUGUUUGUGGAAUGAGCGGCGGACGGGUGAGUAACACGUGGGCAACCUGCCUGUAAGACCGGGAUAACUUGCGGAAACGUGAGCUAAUACCGGAUAAAGCUCCAUGCCGCAUGGCAUGGGGAUGAAAGACGGCUUAGCUGUCGCUUGCAGAUGGGCCCGCGGCGCAUUAGCUAGUUGGUGGGGUAACGGCCUACCAAGGCGACGAUGCGUAGCCGACCUGAGAGGGUGAUCGGCCACACUGGGACUGAGACACGGCCCAGACUCCUACGGGAGGCAGCAGUAGGGAAUAUUCCGCAAUGGGCGAAAGCCUGACGGAGCGACGCCGCGUGAGCGAUGAAGGUCUUCGGAUCGUAAAGCUCUGUUGUUAGGGAAGAACAAGUACCGGAGUAACUGCCGGUACCUUGACGGUACCUAACCAGAAAGCCCCGGCUAACUACGUGCCAGCAGCCGCGGUAAUACGUAGGGGGCGAGCGUUGUCCGGAAUUAUUGGGCGUAAAGGGUGCGUAGGCGGUCUCUUAAGUCUGAUGUGAAAGCCCACGGCUUAACCGUGGAGGGUCAUUGGAAACUGGGAGACUUGAGUGCAGAAGAGGAGAGUGGAAUUCCAUGUGUAGCGGUGAAAUGCGUAGAGAUAUGGAGGAACACCAGUGGCGAAGGCGA